This 365-nucleotide ribosomal RNA is filed under the name uncultured bacterium. Its description in RNAcentral is "bacterial SSU rRNA". It matches the Rfam family "Bacterial small subunit ribosomal RNA", at positions 46 to 387 of the family's 1533-position model. The record is from RNAcentral.
GAUUUAGGCAUGCAAGUCGAACGGGAACCUUGGGUGUAGCAAUACAUCCGGGGGGAUAGUGGCGUAAGGGUGAGUAACACGUGGGCAAUCUGCCUUCAAGUUGGGGAUAACCUGGCGAAAGCCGGGCUAAUACCGAAUGUGGUCGCUCGACGCGAGUUGGGACGACUAAAGGCGGGGUCUCGCAAGGGACCUGUCGCUUGGAGAUGGGCCCGCGUCCUAUCAGCUUGUUGGUGAGGUAACGGCUCACCAAGGCUAUAACGGGUAGCUGGUCUGAGAGGAUGGUCAGCCACAUUGGGACUGAGAUACUGCCCAGACUCCUACGGGAGGCUGCAGUCGAGGAUCAUUCGCAAUGCCCGAAAGGAAUC